RNAcentral lists this ribosomal RNA (253 nucleotides) under uncultured bacterium. RNAcentral describes it as "partial 16S ribosomal RNA". It matches the Rfam family "Bacterial small subunit ribosomal RNA", at positions 524 to 776 of the family's 1533-position model. The record is from RNAcentral.
UACGUAGGGUGCAAGCGUUGUCCGGAAUUAUUGGGCGUAAAGAGCUUGUAGGCGGUUUGUCGCGUCUGCUGUGAAAUUUCGGGGCUCAACCCCGAACUUGCAGUGGAUACGGGCAGACUAGAGGCAGGUAGGGGAGAAUGGAAUUCCCGGUGUAGCGGUGAAAUGCGCAGAUAUCGGGAGGAACACCGGUGGCGAAGGCGGUUCUCUGGGCCUGACCUGACGCUGAGACGCGAAAGCGUGGGGAGCGAACAGG